CCCGGCGCCAAAAAGCGGGAACGCGGCGAGAACUUGAGCGCGACACCCCGGACUCCCCCGGCGGAGGCCAGGCGCAGCCCGUCUCAGCGGCGCGGCGGCGACCCGCGGGGCUCCGGGAAGAGCGGGCACCACCAGCCGCCCCGCUGGCCGCCGCCGGCAACUUUUCCUCCCUCCCGCCGCCACCCGCCCCUCGCCGCGCCGCCCCGGGUCAUCCGUUGCCCGCCCGCCCCCCGCAGCCGCCACCCCGCGCCCCCGGCCACCGCCCGCAGCGCCCCGCUACCCACCUCGGCUGCGAAGUGACGGGGGUCCCCCCGCUGCCGCCGCGGAGCCGCUUUUCCCCCUCUCCCCUCCUCCCCGCUCCGGUCGCCGCCUCUGCCCGGAGCCGGAUACGGAGAGAAACUGAUUCGCGUGGCCGCUUCCCUCGUUCUUCGCGCCGCCUCCCUCGGCGGAGCGCUCGGCAGCGGCCCCGAGCAGGCAAAACGCCGGCAGCGCCGAGGGCAGAGGCGCCCCGGCCACCCCCGCUCGGAAACUCUCCGGGGAAAGCAGCGCGAGCGAGCCCGGCUCCCCGCCGCCCCGCGCUGCCAAUCACGGGGGCGGCCCCGCGCGGAUUGGGCGGCCCCGCCGCCAGCAACCCCCCCUCCGGCAACUCGGGGCGCGCCGCCGGGGGCAGGACCCGCGGUCACCGCGCUGCGACGAGGAAGGGAGCCGCGGGGCCGGCGGCAAAUUCCUCCACGCGCGCCCUCGCGUCCCCGGUGCUCCCGCCGCCCCUCCGGCGCUGCGCCGUCGCCCGGCGAGACCUGCCCGCCCCCAGCGGCCCCGCCGGAGCCCCCCGCCGCGUGGGCAGGAAGGGCGGGGGCCGGCGGCCGUUCCGCGCUGUGAGGCGAUACCUCGGCUGCAGCCUGGUGAGGGCUUCCCCGAGGUUCCUCUGGUUGUCCUCUGGAGACCUUGGCAUCUGAGAUAAGGCACCUACCAAAGAUGCUUAGAAUAAGGCAACACAAAUACCCCGCUUUGAUGUGCUGUGCAGAGUUACACAAUGGAAACUCUGAAGAGCUUGUUAUAAAUCCUACCCUUCAGCAGCAGGACCUAACCGAGUGCUGCAGAGCAGCACCCUUCCAAGAGAAGGCACCCCACCUUCUCCUGGGGACAACUCUCUGCCCCCUUCCAGCAAGAACCACAGGGGAGGCUGUGUGCUGUGCUACAGGAAGUGAACCAACAGCGGGCCCUGAAAAAGUCAGCACAGAGCAGGAAUGCUACUGCAGGCCAGUACCUGUCUGCACAAGGCUGCUGUCCAGGCAGCAAGGAAGGCACUGAACAGCUCACCUG
RNAcentral lists this long non-coding RNA (1323 nucleotides) under Phasianus colchicus (ring-necked pheasant). RNAcentral describes it as "lncRNA (ENSPCLG00000003262.1)". The record is from RNAcentral. Lineage: Eukaryota; Metazoa; Chordata; Aves; Galliformes; Phasianidae.